AGGGUUUGAUCAUGGCUCAGAUUGAACGCUGGCGGUAACUUUUAAACAUGCAAGUCGAGCGGUAACAGACAUAAAGAUUCAGCUUGCUGAAUCCGGUGCUGACGAGCGGCGAACGGGUGAGUAACGCGUAGGAAUCUACCCAGUAGCGGGGGAUAGCCCGAGGAAACUCGGAUUAAUACCGCAUACGCCCUGAGGGGGAAAGGGGGCAGUUUACUGCUCUCACUAUUGGAUGAGCCUGCGUAAGAUUAGCUUGUUGGUGGGGUAAUGGCCUACCAAGGCAACGAUCUUUAGCUGGUCUGAGAGGACGAUCAGCCACAUUGGGACUGAGACACGGCCCAGACAUCUACGGAUGGCAGCAGUUAAGAAUAUUGGACAAUGGGGGCAACCCUGAUCCAGGUAUACCGCGUGUGUGAAGAAGGCCCUAGGGUUGUAAAGCACUUUAAUCAGAGAAGAAGCGUUUUAAGUUAAUACCUUAUUAUGUUGACGUUAUCUGAAGAAUAAGGACCGGCUAACUCCGUGCCAGCAGCCGCGGUAAUACGGAGGGUCCAAGCGUUAAUCGGAAUUACUGGGCGUAAAGCGCGCGUAGGCGGUUUAGCAAGUUGUAUGUGAAAGCCCUGGGCUCAACCUAGGAACUGCAUUCAAAACUGCUAAGCUAGAGUACGAGAGAGGAGAGUAGAAUUUCUGGUGUAGCGGUGAAAUGCGUAGAUAUCAGAAGGAAUACCAAUGGCGAAGGCAGCUCUCUGGCUCGUCACUGACGCUGAGGUGCGAAAGCGUGGGUAGCAAACAGGAUUAGAUACCCUGGUAGUCCACGCCGUAAACGAUGAGAACUAGCCGUUGGGCAGAUUUAACUGUUCAGUGGCACAGCUAACGCAUUAAGUUCUCCGCCUGGGGAGUACGGCCGCAAGGCUAAAACUCAAAUGAAUUGACGGGGGCCCGCACAAGCGGUGGAGUAUGUGGUUUAAUUCGAUGCAACGCGAAGAACCUUACCAGGGUUUGACAUCCUGCGAACCUCUUAGAAAUUUGAGGGUGCCUUCGGGAAUGCAGUGACAGGUGGUGCAUGGCUGUCGUCAGCUCGUGUCGUGAGAUGUUGGGUUAAGUCCCGCAACGAGCGCAACCCACGUUUUUAGUUGCCAGCAUUUAGUUGGGCACUCUAGAAAGACCGCCGGUGAUAAACCGGAGGAAGGUGUGGAUGACGUCAAGUCAUCAUGCCCCUUACACCCUGGGCUACACACGUACUACAAUGCUACGGACAAAGGGCAGCAAACUCGCGAGAGCUAGCAAAUCCCAUAAACCGUGGCUCAGUUCAGAUCGUAGGCUGCAACUCGCCUACGUGAAGUAGGAAUCGCUAGUAAUCGCAGGUCAGCAUACUGCGGUGAAUACGUUCCCGGGCCUUGUACACACCGCCCGUCACACCAUGGAAGUUGGCCAUGCCCGAAGUCGUUACUCCAACCCUUGUGGAGGAGGACGCCGAAGGUGGGGCUAAUGACUGGGGUGAAGUCAUAACAAGGUAGCCGUA
Molecule: ribosomal RNA, 1516 nt
Filed under: uncultured bacterium
Lineage: Bacteria
Description: bacterial SSU rRNA
Rfam family: Bacterial small subunit ribosomal RNA
Source: RNAcentral